UACGUAGGGGGCAAGCGUUGUCCGGAUUUAUUGGGCGUAAAGCGCGUGUAGGUGGCCAUGUAGGUCCGCUGUGAAAACUUGAGGCUCAACCUCAUAAAAGCAGUGGAAACUACACAGCUAGAGUGCGGUAGGGGCAGAGGGAAUUCCUGGUGUAGCGGUGAAAUGCGUAGAGAUCAGGAAGAACACCGGUGGCGAAAGCGCUCUGCUAGGCCGCAACUGACACUGAGGGACGAAAGCUAGGGGAGCGAAUGGG
This 253-nucleotide ribosomal RNA is filed under the name uncultured bacterium. RNAcentral's name for it is "partial 16S ribosomal RNA". It matches the Rfam family "Bacterial small subunit ribosomal RNA", at positions 524 to 776 of the family's 1533-position model. The record is from RNAcentral.